UACGGAGGAUGCAAGCGUUAUCCGGAUUUAUUGGGCGUAAAGCGUCCGCAGGUGGCUGUGUAAGUCUGCUGUUAAAGAGUGAGGCUCAACCUCAUAAAGGCAGUGGAAACUACAUGGCUAGAGUGCGUUCGGGGCAGAGGGAAUUCCUGGUGUAGCGGUGAAAUGCGUAGAGAUCAGGAAGAACACCGGUGGCGAAAGCGCUCUGCUAGGCCGCAACUGACACUGAGGGACGAAAGCUAGGGGAGCGAAUGGG
RNAcentral lists this ribosomal RNA (253 nucleotides) under uncultured bacterium. RNAcentral's name for it is "partial 16S ribosomal RNA". It matches the Rfam family "Bacterial small subunit ribosomal RNA", at positions 524 to 776 of the family's 1533-position model. The record is from RNAcentral.